This 155-nucleotide ribosomal RNA is filed under the name uncultured bacterium. RNAcentral's name for it is "partial 16S rRNA". It matches the Rfam family "Bacterial small subunit ribosomal RNA", at positions 355 to 507 of the family's 1533-position model. The record is from RNAcentral.
UGAGGAAUAUUGGGCAAUGGACGCAAGUCUGACCCAGCCAUGCCGCGUGAAGGAUGAAGGCGUUCUGCGUUGUAAACUUCUUUUAUUAGGGAAGAAACCUCCGUUUUCUAAUGGAGCCGACGGUACCUAACGAAUAAGCACCGGCUAACUCCGUG